AUUUGGCGGGUGGGAGAUGGAUCUAGCAUUAAUAUUUGGAGGGAUAAUUGGUUACCCAGGAACACUGGACUUAAAAUUUCAGCUAAAAGGCACAAUACUAGAUUGAAGUGGGUCUCUGAUUUGUUCUUGAGUGGGAGAAAGGCAUGGGAUGAAAAUUUGAUCAAGUAUCUUUUCUAUCCCCAUGAUGUAGAGGAGGUUCUUAAGAUUCGUAUUCAUGCUUAUGGGGAUGGGGAUUUUAUUGCGUGGCACUAUGAGAAUAACGGUAUAUUUUCCGUUAAAAGUGCGUACAAUUUAGCACUUACGUUGAAGGAUAGUCAAGAUAAAUUGGGUCAAUCUAGUGGUGAUCCAUGCGGAGAAAGAAGACUCUGGAAUUUAAUUUGGAAGGCUAAUAUCCCUCGGAAGAUAAGAAUUUUUGCUUGGAGGGCCGCGACCGAUAGCUUGGCGGUCCAGACCAAUAGAGUUAAGCACCAUCAGAUUACUUCAGGUAUGUGCUCUAUUUGUGGAGUAGAAAAGGAAAGCACGUUUCAUGCCCUAGUUAUUUGUCCUAAGGCUCGUGCACUGUGA
RNAcentral lists this ribosomal RNA (564 nucleotides) under Triticum aestivum (bread wheat). RNAcentral describes it as "partial small subunit ribosomal RNA". The record is from RNAcentral. Lineage: Eukaryota; Viridiplantae; Streptophyta; Magnoliopsida; Poales; Poaceae.